GUAGUUAGCCGGAGCUUCCUUCUCGGGUACCGUCAUUAUCGUCCCCGAUGACAGAGGUUUACAAUCCGAAAACCUUCAUCCCUCACGCGGCGUUGCUGGGUCAGGCUUUCGCCCAUUGCCCAAUAUUCCCCACUGCUGCCUCCCGUAGGAGUCUGGACCGUGUCUCAGUUCCAGUGUGGCCGAUCAGCCUCUCAGCUCGGCUACCCAUCGUCGACUUGGUGGGCCGUUACCCCGCCAACUAUCUAAUGGGACGCGAGCCCCUCCUUCAGCGAAUUGCUCCUUUGACCCCUCUACCAUGCGGUAGCGUGGUCUCAUGCGGUAUUAGCAGUAAUUUCUCACUGUUAUCCCCCUCUGAAGGACAGGUUGCUCACGCGUUACUCACCCGUUCGCCACUAACUCAAGGAGCAAGCUCCUCUCGUCCGUUCGACUUGCAUGUGUUAGGCACGCCGCCAGCGUUCGUCCUGAACCAAGAUCAAAUUCUGA
Molecule: ribosomal RNA, 483 nt
Filed under: uncultured bacterium
Lineage: Bacteria
Description: partial 16S ribosomal RNA
Source: RNAcentral